Molecule: ribosomal RNA, 381 nt
Filed under: uncultured eukaryote
Lineage: Eukaryota
Description: partial 18S ribosomal RNA
Rfam family: Eukaryotic small subunit ribosomal RNA
Source: RNAcentral
CAAUAGCGUGUAUUAAAGCUGUUGCGGUUAAAAAGCUCGUAGUUGGAUUUCUGUCAAGGACAACUGGUCCGCCCCUCGGGUGAGCACAUAGUUUGGUCUUGGCAUCUUGUUGGAAACUGUUGCUGCACUUGGUUGUGUGGCGCAGUGUCCAGCACUUUCACUUUGAGGAAAUUGGAGUGUUUCAAGCAGGCACAUGCCUUUGGACACAGUAGCAUGGAAUAAUUAGAUUGGGCUUUUGCUCCAACUUGUCGGUUUCUGGAGCUGAGGUGAGAAUUAAUGGGGAUUGUUGGGGGCAUCCGAAUUUAGCCGUCAGAGGUGAAAUUCUUGGAUCUGCUAAAGACGGACAACUGCGAAAGCGUUUGCCCAGGAUGUUUUCAUUGA